GAGACGCGGCUGCGUAGACUCCUCCCUAACUCUAGUUAGGGAGUUAACGCCGGGAUGGAUAGGUCCCGCACCACGACAUUAAACCCUCGAUAUAGACUAUAGACAUUCAUCGAGGCGGUGUUCUGAACAUUGAGUGGACGUCGUUGGCGUCCGCGGCGUUUCUCGGCUUCGGUGUGGACGUUUUGCCUCAGCUUGUGACGAGCCGCAGACGACUGCGGGACCUGGCUGUAGUCGUCGACGGCCCUGUUGUGGCUUCAGCUCUCGCCGGUGAUUCGAGAAUCUUCCAGAGACCGACGACUGAACCUGAACGAAUCCCUUUGAAACGGAUCAGAAGUUUCUGGCACCACUUCAGCUCCUUCCACGGAGAAGAGCAUAAGAUGACGGUGAUGAUGAUCCUGAUGAAGGCCACAAACCUAAAUGUGUCACUCAAGCAGUAAAGUUUCUAAAUCAUUCAAAUGUUUCUCGAGCUCUAACUUUCUACUUCCCUAUUGCUUCAGGACUCUGUGUGUUGAUUUCAAUGACAGCUUAUUUAUUAAUAAGUAAUUAUUAAUAUUAUUGUUGAAAAAAACUCCAAAUUGAACAAGUUUCUGUUUGCUUAUUGUUUCAGGACUGUGUGUUGAUCUUACUGACAGCUUAUUUAUUAAUUAUUUAUUAAUAAGUAAUUAUUAAUAUUAUUGCUAAACAACUCCAAAUUUAAGAAAGAGGUAAGUUUAGUUUUACAGAAGAGAUGGUCUCACCUCUCUGUCAGGUGAAUAUCUACAAAUAUAUCUACAAAUAUAUCUAUAUCUACAAAACAAAUUACAUAUGUAUCUGAAGAUGACAAUCAGCAAUGCAGCCCGAUUUAAAAAGAUCAAUAUGAAAAUAAAAGAAUGAAUCUGAACUUUUAAUGUGACUCUUUCCUUACUUGUUUAAAAUGUCUGAAUGAUCAGUCAUUAUUGCUUUUUGUGAAACCUCAACACAGAAAAAGAAUAAAAACUAAAUUAUGUGAAAUUCAUCACUUUAUUGCUCUAAGUCUCUUUUUUUGUCUUUCUUUAGUACAGGGUUCAUGAUUGUUUUUUUUUGCUUUUUUAUGUAAUGUGAGAACAAGGUGUGAAUUACUGGGAAAGGUAAUUAGUGGCAAAAGUUUUUAGCCAAUGAAAAACUGACACACCACACACUCACUUGGAAAAGUGCCAUGAUUUAGAUGUAAUCACUGUACUGUUUUCUAAUAUUGUCACUAAUAAAAUAUCAAUAUAA
Long non-coding RNA from Astatotilapia calliptera (eastern happy), 1236 nucleotides. NCBI's taxonomy places the organism in Eukaryota, Metazoa, Chordata, Actinopteri, Cichliformes, Cichlidae. The record is from Ensembl.